RNAcentral lists this ribosomal RNA (253 nucleotides) under uncultured bacterium. RNAcentral describes it as "partial 16S ribosomal RNA". It matches the Rfam family "Bacterial small subunit ribosomal RNA", at positions 524 to 776 of the family's 1533-position model. The record is from RNAcentral.
GACGUAGGGGGCCAGCGUUGUUCGGAAUUACUGGGUGUAAAGGGUUCGUAGGCGGUGUGGCAAGUCGGGAGUGAAAUCUCUGGGCUCAACCCAGAGUCUGCUUCCGAAACUGCUGUGCUUGAGUGUGGGAGAGGCGCGUGGAAUUGCAGGUGUAGCGGUGAAAUGCGCAGAUAUCGGGAAGAACACCCGUGGCGAAGGCGGUUCUCUGGGACGGUACUGACGCUGAGACGCGAAAGCGUGGGGAGCGAACAGG